GAUUUUUCCACAGUACUUUCCCCAUAAGCGUCCUUCAGCAUUAUCUCCAUCAAUCACUUCAACAUAAUCAUACCUGCAGUCGCGGUCCUCCAGGUCGAAGUGGGGGUUGAAGUUGAUCAUGAUCCGCUGGUAGGGCUCCGGAGCCUGGAUCAGCCACUCGCAUUUCUGGCUGGGGUGGUAGGACUGGGGGUAGCCGGGAGAGGUGAGGUACCCGGGGCUUAAAAUUUUGAUCGUGUCGCCGCAC
Long non-coding RNA from Egretta garzetta (little egret), 244 nucleotides. RefSeq lists it as uncharacterized. The record is from RefSeq and is a predicted model, not a curated record. The transcript is spliced from 3 exons. Lineage: Eukaryota; Metazoa; Chordata; Aves; Pelecaniformes; Ardeidae.